This 72-nucleotide transfer RNA is filed under the name Camelus bactrianus (Bactrian camel). It matches the Rfam family "tRNA". From Rfam's summary of the family: Transfer RNA (tRNA) molecules are approximately 80 nucleotides in length. Their secondary structure includes four short double-helical elements and three loops (D, anti-codon, and T loops). The record is from Rfam by way of RNAcentral. RNAcentral also lists the same sequence under 2 other names. Lineage: Eukaryota; Metazoa; Chordata; Mammalia; Artiodactyla; Camelidae.
GCUGGUAUAACUCAGUGGUAGAGCACAUGCUUAGCAUGCAUGAGGUCCUGGGUUCAAUCCCCAGUACCUACA